Molecule: ribosomal RNA, 464 nt
Filed under: uncultured bacterium
Lineage: Bacteria
Description: partial 16S ribosomal RNA
Rfam family: Bacterial small subunit ribosomal RNA
Source: RNAcentral
AACGCUGGCGGCGUGCUUAACACAUGCAAGUCGAACGGAAAGGCCCUGCUUUUGUGGGGUGCUCGAGUGGCGAACGGGUGAGUAACACGUGAGUAACCUGCCCUUGACUUUGGGAUAACUUCAGGAAACUGGGGCUAAUACCGGAUAGGAGCUCCUGCUGCAUGGUGGGGGUUGGAAAGUUUCGGCGGUUGGGGAUGGACUCGCGGCUUAUCAGCUUGUUGGUGGGGUAGUGGCUUACCAAGGCUUUGACGGGUAGCCGGCCUGAGAGGGUGACCGGCCACAUUGGGACUGAGCUACGGCCCAGACUCCUACGGGAGGCAGCAGUGGGGAAUAUUGCACAAUGGGCGGAAGCCUGAUGCAGCAACGCCGCGUGCGGGAUGACGGCCUUCGGGUUGUAAACCGCUUUCGCCUGUGACGAAGCGUGAGUGACGGUAAUGGGUAAAGAAGCACCGGCUAACUACGUG